Molecule: ribosomal RNA, 842 nt
Filed under: Levilactobacillus brevis
Lineage: Bacteria; Bacillati; Bacillota; Bacilli; Lactobacillales; Lactobacillaceae
Description: bacterial SSU rRNA
Rfam family: Bacterial small subunit ribosomal RNA
Source: RNAcentral
UGCAGUCGACGAGCUUCCGUUGAUGACGUGCUUGCACUGAUUUCAACAAUGAAGCGAGUGGCGAACUGGUGAGUAACACGUGGGGAAUCUGCCCAGAAGCAGGGGAUAACACUUGGAAACAGGUGCUAAUACCGUAUAACAACAAAAUCCGCAUGGAUUUUGUUUGAAAGGUGGCUUCGGCUAUCACUUCUGGAUGAUCCCGCGGCGUAUUAGUUAGUUGGUGAGGUAAAGGCCCACCAAGACGAUGAUACGUAGCCGACCUGAGAGGGUAAUCGGCCACAUUGGGACUGAGACACGGCCCAAACUCCUACGGGAGGCAGCAGUAGGGAAUCUUCCACAAUGGACGAAAGUCUGAUGGAGCAAUGCCGCGUGAGUGAAGAAGGGUUUCGGCUCGUAAAACUCUGUUGUUAAAGAAGAACACCUUUGAGAGUAACUGUUCAAGGGUUGACGGUAUUUAACCAGAAAGCCACGGCUAACUACGUGCCAGCAGCCGCGGUAAUACGUAGGUGGCAAGCGUUGUCCGGAUUUAUUGGGCGUAAAGCGAGCGCAGGCGGUUUUUUAAGUCUGAUGUGAAAGCCUUCGGCUUAACCGGAGAAGUGCAUCGGAAACUGAGAGACUUGAGUGCAGAAGAGGACAGUGGAACUCCAUGUGUAGCGGUGGAAUGCGUAGAUAUAUGGAAGAACACCAGUGGCGAACGCGGCUGUCUAGUCUGUAACUGACGCUGAGGCUCGAAAGCAUGGUAGCGAACAGGAUUAGAUACCCUGGUAGUCCAUGCCGUAAACGAUGAGUGCUAAGUGUUGAGGGUUUCCGCCCUUCAGUGCUGCAGCUAACGCAUUAAGCAC